Cephus cinctus (wheat stem sawfly) is the source of this 3065-nucleotide RNA transcript. It is a transcript of the gene named phosphatidylinositide phosphatase SAC1, with no coding region annotated. The record is from RefSeq and is a predicted model, not a curated record. The transcript is spliced from 9 exons. Lineage: Eukaryota; Metazoa; Arthropoda; Insecta; Hymenoptera; Cephidae.
CUGCGAGUGUCUAGAUUAGACAGACGGAUUGUCUGAUUCAGUUUCGUGUUAGUGUGAUUCUUUUUAAAGGAAAUUUGUGACGGCUUGUCUUAGCGUCAAUGAAUGUGUAGCCAAUUCAAUUUUACUAGCGCAUCAUCUAAUAAUAUUGCAAAUAAGAGCUAGAGAAGCAAAUCAUAGAAAGAAUCAUCUAUAAUAUGGCAAUGUGGAAAGCUGACGUUUAUGAGGACCUGCAUCUGUACAUAACACCUGAGAAAUUCUAUAUCGAGCCUGUGGAUACCAAAGUUUUAUUGGUAGUCGAUAGAGCUAGUCAGCAAAUUUAUACUCAAGCUGGUACUGCCAGUCAAAUACCACAGACUGCAAGUAGACGUAAAAUAUGGGGUAUCGUUGGUACUAUACGCCUGUUGGCAUGUCAGUACUUAAUAGUAAUUACAGACGCAGAGAGUGUAGGGACAAUAGCUGGGGAAAGAAUAUACAGAAUAGUUUCAACCGAUAUAAUACCUUAUGCAAGGUCUUUUGUUCACUUGAGUGAAAAACAAAUUGAAAAUAAUACCACCUAUUUGGAAAUGAUUAAAACUGUACUGAACACUCCAUACUUCUACUUCAGUUAUACAUAUGAUCUGAGUCAUACGAUGCAACGACUUCAUAAUACGACUCCAGAGUUUUUGCAGAUGCCAUUACAUGAUCGGGCAGAUCCACGAUUUGUCUGGAAUGCCUAUCUCCUUCAAGAAUUAACAGCGCGAUCUGAACAAUAUAAGUUCUGCCUGCCAAUUAUACACGGCUUCGUAUCAUUGAAAACUGCGGUAAUCAAUGGUGUAGCUUUCAACUGGGGUGUUGUUUCAAGACGUAGUGUGCAUCGUGCAGGCACAAGACUAUUUUCACGAGGAAUAGACUCAAACGGUAACGUGUCAAAUUACGUGGAGACGGAACAGCUUAUCGAGGUAGAUGGCGAUCGGAGUUCUUUUGUACAGACCAGAGGCUCAAUUCCUUUGUUCUGGCAGCAAGCUCCAAAUCUAAAGUAUAAACCAAAGCCUCAGCUAAGUCCGCACGAAGAUCAUCAAACAGCAUGCGCACGUCAUUUUGACGCACAAAUCUUUCACUACGGGAAGCAGAUUCUAGUGAACCUGAUCGAUCACAGUGGGCCUGAAGAUGUUCUGGAAAAGGCUUACCGCGACAUGGUGUAUCGAAUAGGAAAUCAAAAUGUCAGAUACGAGUCAUUUGACUUUCACGCCGAGUGCCGUAAAAUGCGUUGGGAUCGUCUAAACGUCCUGAUGGAUAGAUUGGCUCACGAUCAGGAACAAAUGGGUUACUUUCUUCUGUCACGAGACGGAGCUCUAUUGUCAGCUCAGGAUGGUGUUUUCCGGACAAAUUGUAUCGACUGUCUUGAUCGUACAAAUGUCGUUCAAAGUAUGUUAGCUAAAAGGGCACUAAGUGAUGCUCUUAAUCGACUUGGAGUCUUGCGGAAGGUCGAAGAGCAUCCCUCUCUGGAGUAUGUCUUUAAACAGGUCUGGGCUGAUAACGCGGAUGUGAUAAGCGUUCAAUAUUCCGGUACUGGCGCCUUGAAGACAGACUUCACAAGAACAGGAAAGCGAACCAAGCUGGGCGCCAUGAAGGACGGAAUAAAUUCAUUGACAAGAUAUUAUAAAAAUAAUUUCGCGGAUGGUUACAGACAGGAUGCUCUGGAGCUCUUCCUGGGUAGAUAUAUCAUCCAACAUGGAGAAUGUCUGACUCACAAGUGUCCAUUAGAAACUGAACGCAACUGGCGUUACGCAACCUUCCCUCUAGUUCUACUAAUUGCGUCAUCAAUGCUAGUAGCCCACGUAAUUCUACCCUCUAGAUACACCACCGAAGUAUUACUAUACAUGUUAUUUUGGGGUGGUAUGGUAGCUGGCACAUUUGCAACCAUCAUUCAUCAUGGAAAACAAUACGUGGACAAGCCGAAACUAUUAUAGUUGAAGAAAUUGGCAGAUUGCUCUGAGCAUUUUAAUCGACGUCACUCAAAUGCGACGCCAUCUUCCACCGAAUACAGAACAUUAUCUGCCAGAAUUUCGUAUCGUCCUUAAAAUCCUAGAGCAUAAUGUCCAAUGAAAUCUAUUCCUGGGGAAGCUAGUCUUUGUACCGAUUUUUCGUAAUGAACUUUACAUUUCUUACGGAUAUUUACUAUUCCAAUCAAUCACUGCACGAGUAGCUAUCCCUGGUGUUAGGAUAAUCGUUAAAGAACGUCGAAAACUAAUCAUGUAGGUACACAAAAAUUUCAUUAAUAAUAGAAGAGAUCAAUCGAUCAAUUCAGAGAUCGAUAAGCAAAUACGAGUAUUUCGUACGUGAUAACGUACCUCUUCAAUCUCAGCAACGCAUGCGGAAUCCUUUUCUGUGAACUACUUGGCACCAGUGUGGCAGAUUUCUUGACGUCACUUGAAAAAUUGAGAGGAAACUCUAGACAAAUAGAAUUACGAGUACCGCACCCAUAGAAAACUAACGUAAUGGAUGAGUAACGUUUUUCAUUAUAUUCCAAAGCUUUUGUUUUAUCGACUGACAAGAGAAUUCACGCGAUAAAGAUAAAGAAACUUUCAUCAGUUUUCAUCUAUUCAGCGAAUCGUUCAUGUCCUGUUAUUCAAAAGUCUCUGGUCACAAAACGCUUUCAAGAGACGCAACGCGGCUUUCCGCAGCUUCUGAGCCUUUGACAAACGGCUCCACGUAAUUGGAUUCGUUUUAUAAAGUUCCGAUGAAACGUGGAGCUUCCGCUGCCAUUAAUUGGAGAUAGGAUCCGGGCGGUUCGUACAGGGGUGCAGCGGGAGAACGGCGAGUGAUUAAUUUGAUUCAAUUACAAGCCAGAGCAAAUCCGGGGCAUCGAUUUUAUAACCGUCCCAAGUGUGCCGCGCGCAAUCUUUCUGCUUCCUGGAAAUAUUCCGUAUCUAUCCUUACGUUUUCUACAAGACCAAGGCCACUGUCAAACAGUAUACAUAUAUACUAGAAUGUCUUAUGCUCACUGUAUUGUUUUCACAGGGAAUUGUCAGAUGGCGUCAGUCAUUCAAUUCUCGCUAUUGGAUAAAGUAAUAAUGUGAAUUUCA